UCUAUGACUGAGGUUGCAUCUAAAACAAAAACAAAUUUGUAAAUUAUUAGUGUUGGAGAACGUUGGUGUCACUUCCAUCAAAUGGGUCCAUGACUGAAACAUCCUCUCGGCUGCAUCUGUAAAAAAAAAUCUGUAGUGUUUUGGAGAACGUUGGUGUCACUUUCAUCAAACGGGCCCUUUAACAAGCUCAUGGUAGAGUGAUCUUGUUACUAUUGUAUAGUGCUGCGGAAACUAUGCGCUACCCUCCCUGGUCUAGUACAACGGAGUCUAUUCAAGGUCUAUGACUGUAACAUCCCCCUGCUGCAAUCUGCAAAAAUCAAAAUUUUAGAAUUAAACAUCUGUUGGUGAACUCUGAAAUGAAACAUAAAUAAAUUUACAACAUUACACAUAUAUAAGAAUUAAAUCAAUUAAACUUUAUUUUCUUUUCUUUGAGGUAAAUUUCGAAAAAUUAAAUAUAUGUUUUUUUUAAAUUAACUUUUUUUACUUUAUUUUUAGUGUAGCUCUUGUUGAUCAUUAUACCGGACUGUUUACUUUUAGAGAUAUUCUAUUUCUAGAUGUUCAAGGACAUGCAUACAUUCUUGAUUACACUGUGUGUGCUGCUUCAAUGAAAAAAGGUGAAAAUAAGAUGUCGUGUUAAAUUUUGUGAGGUAGGAUAUUUUUUGUGUUCCAGGGUGUUCUGUCUCAAAUUACACCAGUUUUAAAAUACUUCUGAUUGAUUUGUUCUGUAUGUUUUCUCUCAUUGACAAAAACACACAAAAAGACAAAAAUAAUAAAUAUUGUAUACCUAUAUACAUCUUUGUAAGAACUCUGAAAUGGAUAUAAAUAAGAAAGAUUAGUAAUUUGUCACUUUUAUACAAAGAAAUGGACAUACAGAAAUC
Molecule: long non-coding RNA, 878 nt
Filed under: Mytilus galloprovincialis (Mediterranean mussel)
Lineage: Eukaryota; Metazoa; Mollusca; Bivalvia; Mytilida; Mytilidae
Source: RNAcentral